AGUGAACGCUGGCGGUAGGCCUAACACAUGCAAGUCGAACGGCAGCACAGUAAGAGCUUGCUCUUACGGGUGGCGAGUGGCGGACGGGUUAGGAAUACAUCGGAAUCUACUUUUUCGUGGGGGAUAACGUAGGGAAACUUACGCUAAUACCGCAUACGACCUACGGGUGAAAGCAGGGGAUCUUCUGACCUUGCGCGAUUGAAUGAGCCGAUGUCGUAUUAGCUGGUUUGCGGGCUAAAUGCCCACCAAGGCGACGAUCCGUAGCUGGUCUGAGAGGAUGAUCAGCAACACUGGAACUAGGACACGGUCCAGAAUACUACGGGAGGCAGCAGUGGGGAAUAUUGGACAAUGGGCGAAAGCCUGAUCCAACCAUACCGCGUGGGUGAAGAAGGCCUUCGGGUUGUGAAGCCCUUUUGUUGGGAAAGAAAAGAAGCAGGUUAAUACCACGCUGUUCUGACGGUACCAAAAGAAUAAGCACCGGCUAACUUCGUG
Molecule: ribosomal RNA, 492 nt
Filed under: uncultured bacterium
Lineage: Bacteria
Description: partial 16S ribosomal RNA
Rfam family: Bacterial small subunit ribosomal RNA
Source: RNAcentral